This 470-nucleotide ribosomal RNA is filed under the name Enterococcus faecium. RNAcentral describes it as "bacterial SSU rRNA". It matches the Rfam family "Bacterial small subunit ribosomal RNA", at positions 1 to 449 of the family's 1533-position model. The record is from RNAcentral. Lineage: Bacteria; Bacillati; Bacillota; Bacilli; Lactobacillales; Enterococcaceae.
UUUUAUGAGAGUUUGAUCCUGGCUCAGGACGAACGCUGGCGGCGUGCCUAAUACAUGCAAGUCGAACGCUUCUUUUUCCACCGGAGCUUGCUCCACCGGAAAAAGAAGAGUGGCGAACGGGUGAGUAACACGUGGGUAACCUGCCCAUCAGAAGGGGAUAACACUUGGAAACAGGUGCUAAUACCGUAUAACAAUCAAAACCGCAUGGUUUUGAUUUGAAAGGCGCUUUCGGGUGUCGCUGAUGGAUGGACCCGCGGUGCAUUAGCUAGUUGGUGAGGUAACGGCUCACCAAGGCCACGAUGCAUAGCCGACCUGAGAGGGUGAUCGGCCACAUUGGGACUGAGACACGGCCCAAACUCCUACGGGAGGCAGCAGUAGGGAAUCUUCGGCAAUGGACGAAAGUCUGACCGAGCAACGCCGCGUGAGUGAAGAAGGUUUUCGGAUCGUAAAACUCUGUUGUUAGAGAAGAA